UAUUCCACGCCGUAAACGAUGGAUACUCGGUGCUGCCGGACUUGUCUGGCAGUGCCCAAGCUAACUCAUUAAGUAUCCCACCUGGGGAGUACGAUCGCAAGAUUGAAACUCAAAGGAAUUGACGGGGGCCCGCACAAGCGGUGGAGCAUGUGGCUUAAUUCGAUGCAACGCGAGGAACCUUACCUGGGCUCGAAUGCUACCGGACAAGCUCUGAAAGGAGCCUUCCUUCGGGUCGGUAGUAAGGUGCUGCAUGGCUGUCGUCAGUUCGUGUCGUGAGAUGUUGGGUUAAGUCCCGCAACGAACGCAACCCCUAUCGUUAGUUACCAGCGAGUAAUGUGGGGACUCUAGGAAGACUGCCUCCGUAAGGAGUGAGGAAGGCGGGGACGACGUCAAAUCAUCAUGGCCUUUAUGCCCAGGGCUACACACGUGCUACAAUGGCAAGUACAGAGGGCAGCGAAACCGCGAGGUGGAGCCAAUCCCAGAAAGCUUGUCCCAGUUCGGAUCGGAGU
RNAcentral lists this ribosomal RNA (509 nucleotides) under uncultured bacterium. Its description in RNAcentral is "bacterial SSU rRNA". It matches the Rfam family "Bacterial small subunit ribosomal RNA", at positions 791 to 1304 of the family's 1533-position model. The record is from RNAcentral.